Molecule: ribosomal RNA, 308 nt
Filed under: uncultured bacterium
Lineage: Bacteria
Description: partial 16S ribosomal RNA
Rfam family: Bacterial small subunit ribosomal RNA
Source: RNAcentral
GAGACAGCAGCAGCCGCGGUAAGACAGAGGAUGCAAGCGUUAUCCGGAAUGAUUGGGCGUAAAGCGUCUGUAGGUGGCUUUUCAAGUCCGCCGUCAAAUCCCAGGGCUCAACCCUGGACAGGCGGUGGAAACUACCAAGCUGGAGUACGGUGGGGGCAGAGGGAAUUUCCGGUGGAGCGGUGAAAUGCGUUGAGAUCGGAAAGAACACCAACGGCGAAAGCACACUGCUGGGCCGACACUGACACUGAGAGACGAAAGCUAGGGGAGCAAAUGGGAUCAGAUACCCGUGUAGUCCCUGUCUCUUAUAC